GAUCAGUGGCGAACGGGUGAGUAACACGUGAGUAACCUGCCCCAGACUCUGGGAUAAGCCUUGGAAACGAGGUCUAAUACUGGAUAUGAGAUGCCCCUGCAUGGGGAGUGUCUGGAAAGAUUUAUCGGUCUGGGAUGGACUCGCGGCCUAUCAGCUUGUUGGUGGGGUAAUGGCCUACCAAGGCGACGACGGGUAGCCGGCCUGAGAGGGCGACCGGCCACACUGGGACUGAGACACGGCCCAGACUCCUACGGGAGGCAGCAGUGGGGAAUAUUGCACAAUGGGCGCAAGCCUGAUGCAGCGACGCCGCGUGAGGGAUGAAGGCCUUCGGGUUGUAAACCUCUUUCAGCAGGGAAGAAGCGCAAGUGACGGUACCUGCAGAAGAAGCGCCGGCUAACUACGUGCCAGCAGCCGCGGUAAUACGUAGGGCGCAAGCGUUGUCCGGAAUUAUUGGGCGUAAAGAGCUCGUAGGCGGUUUGUCGCGUCUGGUGUGAAAACUCAAGGCUCAACCUUGAGCUUGCAUCGGGUACGGGCAGACUAGAGUGCGGUAGGGGUGACUGGAAUUCCUGGUGUAGCGGUGGAAUGCGCAGAUAUCAGGAGGAACACCGAUGGCGAAGGCAGGUCACUGGGCCGCAACUGAC
Molecule: ribosomal RNA, 641 nt
Filed under: Oerskovia sp. I13A-00629
Lineage: Bacteria; Bacillati; Actinomycetota; Actinomycetes; Micrococcales; Cellulomonadaceae
Description: bacterial SSU rRNA
Rfam family: Bacterial small subunit ribosomal RNA
Source: RNAcentral